Clupea harengus (Atlantic herring) is the source of this 3375-nucleotide long non-coding RNA. The record is from Ensembl. NCBI's taxonomy places the organism in Eukaryota, Metazoa, Chordata, Actinopteri, Clupeiformes, Clupeidae.
UCCACCACCACUAACAUUCUCGCAUCGUCUCGUCAACUGCUGAUGCUGAUGCAUGUUGUGAUGUCAUAAUGAAGAACAAGACAAAGUUCCAUCUCUGUUAUUGUGACCAUGUUUCAUUCUACAGCAAGUUUCACAUUCACAGUUUCAUUCUACAGCAAACAGUCAGCACGAACAGAAUUACAGAUUAAGAAGAGUUAAUUUAACAAAGCAGCGGAGGAGAUAAGGAGGGGGAGUAGUGUGGAGGUUAUGGAGACAGAGGGAAAGGACGCUGGGCAUCAGGAUGUCUACGAAAGCCUCGAAAGGCAUCAGGAUGGUGUCCCACUUGACUCAAUGCCCGUCACACAACAGGCGGGCGCCCAACAAAUGGAAGAGGAGAUGAGAAAUACCUACGAAAGCCUCGGAAGGGCUUUCAUGGCUCACUUAGAGGCCCAUAGCGGGCACUGUGAGGUCAUUGCCCAGGACACACUGCAACGAUUCACUUCGGAUCAACAUACCCAUUAUCAAAUGGGUGGAAACAUCCAGAAGGGAAAUCAUCUGGUUAUGGAGUUUUUUAAUGGCAAGAGCUUGCAAGAGUACUCCAGAGCGAAGAUGGAGAGAGACCCCUUCAUGAGGAUGGAGAUGAACAAGUGGAGAGCAGAGAUAGAGAGAAAGAGGGAGAUGGAGAGAGAAAGAGCGGAGCUGGAGAGAACAAGGAAGGAGGUGGAGAGAAAGGAGAAGGAAGUGAAGCUAAUAAGAGAGGAGAUUCUAAGAAAAGAGGAAGUGGUGAGGAGGAGAGCAGAGAUGGAGAGGGAGAGACAGGCGAUAGAGAGAAACAGACAGGAGAUUGAGAAAGUGAGAGUGGAGGCAGAGCAAAAAAGAAAGAAACAGGAAAAAAGGAUAGAGCAGAUGGAGAGAACGAUAGCAGAGAUUGUGAGAAUAUGGAGGGACCAAAAGAAAAGGCAGACAAAAAAUGAAAAGGAACAUGCAUGGCUUGUGGAGAGGAGGAGUGCAGAGAUGGAAAGAUACAGAGAAAUGGAGAGGGAGAGACAGGCGAUAGAGAAAAGAAGACAGAAUAUUGAGAAAGUGAGAGUGGAAACAGAGCAAAAAAGAGAGGAAGAGGAAAGAAGGAUAGACAUGGAGAGAGCUAAAACAAAGAUGGUGAGAAAGAGAGAGGAGAUUGAGAGAGUGAGAGUGGAGAUGGAGCGAAUAAGAGAGGAAGUAGAAAUUGAAAUACACAAAGACAUGGAGAAGGAGAGACAUGAAGACCAGAGGCAAAAAGAAAAGGAGAGACAAAAGGGAAGUCGGAAAAUACAGGAGGAGACCUCCCAGCCAUGGAAGUCCAUGGGACUAUCCUUUGAAGACAGUGAGGAUGGAUCAGAAGAAGACUGGAAAGAAACUGAGAAGGAGAUGAAAAGGAGGUGGGAGACUCUGUCAGGAGAUGACACUGACUCUGAUGACUCUGAUGACGUGUGGAUGGAUGAGGUGGAGAGACAGGCGGUGGAGGUGGAGCUCAUAACAGAGGAGAUUCUAAGAAACGAGGAAGUGGAGAGGAGGAGAGCAGAGAUGGAAAGAUACAAAGAAAUGGAGAGGGAGAGACAGGCGAUAGAGAGAAAGAGACAGAAUAUUGAGAAAGUGAGAUUGGAGACAGGAAGACAGGAAGAGGAAAGAAGGAUAGAGAUGGAGAGAGCUAAAGCAGAGAUGGUGAGAAAGAGAGAGGAGAUUGAGAAAGUGAGAGUGGAGGCAGAGCAAAAAAGACAGGAAAGAAGGAAGGAGGAGAUGAUAGCAGAGAUGGUGAGAAAGAAAGAGGAGAUGGAGAAAGCAGCACAGACGGAGCAAAAAGAGGACGAGAGGAGAAAGAUAGAGAUUGAGGAGGAGAAAGUGAGACUGGAGACAGAGCAAAAAAGAGAGGAGCAGCAAAGAAGGAUGGAGGAGAUGGAGCGAAAAAGAGAGGAAGCAGAAAUUGAAAUAAACAAAGAAAUGGAGAGGGAGAAACAUGAAGACCAGAGGCAAAAAGGAAAGGAGAGACAAGAGGGAAGUGAGAAUUCAGGAAAAGAAGAGAAGGAGAAGAUGGAGAAGAAGGAGGAUGAGAAAGUCAAAGAGCCACAGACGAGAGACGAGAGGAACACAGAUAUGAUGCGGGAAAUAGAGGAGGAGACCUCCCAGCUGUGGAAGUCCAUGGGACUAUCCUUUGAAGACACUGAGGAUGGAUCAGAAGAAGACUGGAAGGAACGUGAGGAGGCCAGUGUAGACCUAGACUUGCUCUUCCUGAAGGACAAUGUAAAGACUGACAUAGAUAGAGGAAAAGAAAGGAGAUUGGAAGAGGAGAACAAAUCAAGACAGCUAGAAGUGGAGACACAGAGAGAAAUUAAAACUGUGAGACUGAAAGAAGAGGAGAGCAAGAGGAUAGCCAUGGUGGAAAAACUGAAAGAGGACGAAGGGAGGAAGAGAGGGAUGGAAGCAGAAAUGGAGAGAAAGGAACAGGAGGAGAGGCUGAGAGAAAAGGAAAGGACAAAACUAAGAGAAGAGGAGAGAAAGAAAAAAGAGAUGCAAGAGAAGACAAAGAGAGAGCUGGAGCAGAUAACACAAAGAGAGAGGGAGGAGAAGGGGAAGAAAGCCAAAGUGGCCAAGAAAUUAAUCCAGGCACGUGACAGCGAUGACAUUGACAUAGAGAGCUUGAGUGAUGAAGAUAUGUGGAAGGAUAAGGAGCUCCCAAUGGACCAAAAGAAAAGUCAGACAAAAGACGAAAAGGAACAUGCAUGGCUACAGGAAAAACACAACAAAGAGAAGGAGGAUGAGAAUCCUUGUAACAGGGAUUGCAGUGACCCCAAGACUGUGACUAAUUCAAAUAGUUUGUGGAUGCAUAAGGCCAAGAGCCCAAAGCUGUCAGUCAACAAUGCAUGGAAGAUCCAGCAAUAUGAUAAUACAGAGACGGAUAAUGUCAAACAAGGUCAUUCUGAGGCAGGCGACACACUUGUGACGACACUCAGUAAUGAUGAUAUGAAUACAUGGACCCAGCUGAAGGCAAAAACAGAUGAAGAGGAUGCAGAGAGAGAGAAACAGAGGCAGAUGGAGGAAAAGAGGAUGAGAGAGGUGGACAAUGGAGGAAAGAAAGAAGAGAGAACACAGAGAGAGAUGGUAGCACAGAAAGCAAACAAGACACCCAAGAUGAGCAGAGAGUUCGAAAUUGUCCAAAAGAUAGAGGAGGAAAGAAAGAAAGAAGAGAUGGAGAAAGCAGCACAGAAGGAGCAAAAAGAGGACGAGAGGAGAAAGAUAGAGAUUGAGGAGGAGAAAGCACGAGAGGAGGAGAUAAAAGUGAUGACGGAGCAGAUGGAGAGAACUAAAGCAGAGAUGUUGAGAAAGGAAAAGGAGGAGAGCCUGAGAGAAAAAGAAAGGGCC